RNAcentral lists this ribosomal RNA (497 nucleotides) under uncultured bacterium. RNAcentral describes it as "partial 16S ribosomal RNA". It matches the Rfam family "Bacterial small subunit ribosomal RNA", at positions 28 to 507 of the family's 1533-position model. The record is from RNAcentral.
GAUGAACGCUGGCGGCGUGCCUAAUACAUGCAAGUCGAGCGAACGGACGAGAAGCUUGCUUCUCUGAUGUUAGCGGCGGACGGGUGAGUAACACGUGGAUAACCUACCUAUAAGACUGGGAUAACUUCGGGAAACCGGAGCUAAUACCGGAUGAUAUUUUGAACCGCAUGGUUCAAAAGUGAAAGACGGUCUUGCUGUCACUUAUAGAUGGAUCCGCGCUGCAUUAGCUAGCUGGUAAGGUAACGGCUUACCAAGGCAACGAUGCAUAGCCGACCUGAGAGGGUGAUCGGCCACACUGGAACUGAGACACGGUCCAGACUCCUACGGGAGGCAGCAGUAGGGAAUCUUCCGCAAUGGGCGAAAGCCUGACGGAGCAACGCCGCGUGAGUGAUGAAGGUCUUCGGAUCGUAAAACUCUGUUAUUAGGGAAGAACAUAUGUGUAAGUAACUGUGCACAUCUUGACGGUACCUAAUCAGAAAGCCACGGCUAACUACGUG